ACGCUCGACACCUACUGGAGGCAGCAGUGGGGAAUAUUGCACAAUGGGGGAAACCCUGAUGCAGCGACGCCGCGUGGAGGAAGAAGGUCUUCGGAUUGUAAACUCCUGUUGUUGGGGAAAAAGAGGAUGGUACCCAACAAGGAAGUGACGGCUAACUACGUGCCNNGCGCGGUAGUAUGNGCGGCGUGNGAGAG
This 194-nucleotide ribosomal RNA is filed under the name uncultured bacterium. Its description in RNAcentral is "partial 16S ribosomal RNA". It matches the Rfam family "Bacterial small subunit ribosomal RNA", at positions 328 to 538 of the family's 1533-position model. The record is from RNAcentral.